ACCCUCCGUUUCCUUACGCCUCAAAUCUAAACACUGGUCUGAUGGCUAGAAAAAAGGAGGAAAAGAAAACCUGAAGCGGCUUGGAUUUUUUAGUGACAUACAAGU
RNAcentral lists this small nucleolar RNA (105 nucleotides) under Echinops telfairi (small Madagascar hedgehog). RNAcentral's name for it is "Small nucleolar RNA SNORA61 (ENSETEG00000026607.1)". Lineage: Eukaryota; Metazoa; Chordata; Mammalia; Afrosoricida; Tenrecidae. The record is from RNAcentral.